RNAcentral lists this ribosomal RNA (468 nucleotides) under uncultured bacterium. Its description in RNAcentral is "partial 16S ribosomal RNA". It matches the Rfam family "Bacterial small subunit ribosomal RNA", at positions 28 to 507 of the family's 1533-position model. The record is from RNAcentral.
GACGAACGCUGGCGGCGUGCUUAACACAUGCAAGUCGAACGGAAAGGCCCUGCUUUUGUGGGGUGCUCGAGUGGCGAACGGGUGAGUAACACGUGAGUAACCUGCCCUUGACUUUGGGAUAACUUCAGGAAACUGGGGCUAAUACCGGAUAGGAGCUCCUGCUGCAUGGUGGGGGUUGGAAAGUUUCGGCGGUUGGGGAUGGACUCGCGGCUUAUCAGCUUGUUGGUGGGGUAGUGGCUUACCAAGGCUUUGACGGGUAGCCGGCCUGAGAGGGUGACCGGCCACAUUGGGACUGAGAUACGGCCCAGACUCCUACGGGAGGCAGCAGUGGGGAAUAUUGCACAAUGGGCGGAAGCCUGAUGCAGCAACGCCGCGUGCGGGAUGACGGCCUUCGGGUUGUAAACCGCUUUCGCCUGUGACAAAGCGUGAGUGACGGUAAUGGGUAAAGAAGCACCGGCUAGCUACGUG